Molecule: small nucleolar RNA, 195 nt
Organism: Gymnodraco acuticeps
Lineage: Eukaryota; Metazoa; Chordata; Actinopteri; Perciformes; Bathydraconidae
Product: small nucleolar RNA SNORA74
Exons: 1
Source: RefSeq, a predicted model, not a curated record
CCCAGCACUCAGUCAGCUGACAGGCUGUGUGUCUGCCUCGGUGUUACAGUGCUGGCAGAGAAAGGCUCUGUGCUGCUCUCAGUGUGCAGACUCUGUUUUAGAGGCUGUUGCUGCUGAGCGGCUGCAGAGCCGGGCCCCACGAGAGUGGCCUGUCCUGCACCCACGCAGGGCCGGCCUAGUGCGGGGCCGCACACC